This is a long non-coding RNA of Ananas comosus (pineapple), 619 nucleotides long. RefSeq lists it as uncharacterized. The transcript has 4 exons. The record is from RefSeq and is a predicted model, not a curated record. Lineage: Eukaryota; Viridiplantae; Streptophyta; Magnoliopsida; Poales; Bromeliaceae.
GAGCGUGCGACAGAACUCAGAUGCUCUCGGGUUUGGCCUUGUACCGGUACAGCAAUCCGUGUACCGGUACAAGGGAGUUGGUGGAGGGCUAAAUCAGUAAAAUUCCACCUCGUUCAUGUCACCCUCUUUCCCUCUCUCUAUUUAUCUGUGGAUUGGGCUGAGAGAGAGAGAGUUUUCACCAUCUCCUCUCCCUCUCUCUCUCUCUAGGCCGAUCGUGAGCACGGUUGAGGACUUCGUCGCCGACGUCGCGCCGCGAGCCGUUCGAGCACACGUGUUGCCGGGGCGCUGCGAGGAGGCCGGGCGAGGGUGCGUCUUCGCCGUUCCUGUCGCCGCACCGCUGUUCAUCGCUGUUGAGAUUUCCUGCGUCGACUGUUAGUAUUUCGGCUCGUUCUCCGCGUAGGAGCGUCGGAUCGCGACGAAACUUGGUUCAUUGGAUUCUAGACUGCGAGAGGAUUCCACAGAGCCCUCAUUUACAAUUUUUGGACAAGCUUGGCGUUGGCUUGGCGACCGGACUUGGAGAUCCCCGAUUGAUCCAGCAGAGUUCCUUCUAGGCCGAGGCUUCGUUUGCUGCCAGGAAAUAGCACUUUAGAGCCACAGGUUUCGGCUGUUGCGCCUUCCG